UGACGAGAAGACCCCGUCAAACUUUAAUUAUCAUAUAUAAAAGUGAAAUACAAAAUAUAAAUUAAUUUUAGUUGGGGCAACUGGGAGGGAUAAAAAUCUUUUAUUAAAUCAUUUAUAAUAAUAUUUAUAUUUAUGAUCCAAAUUAGUUAAUUUUGAACUUAGAAU
This 165-nucleotide ribosomal RNA is filed under the name Ledella ultima. RNAcentral describes it as "partial 16S ribosomal RNA". Lineage: Eukaryota; Metazoa; Mollusca; Bivalvia; Nuculanida sp.; Nuculanidae. The record is from RNAcentral.